GAGGUCCCGCCUGCCCAGUGAAACUUUUCAACGGCCGCGGUAUUCUAACCGUGCAAAGGUAGCGUAAUCACUUGUCUUCUAAAUAAAGACCUGUAUGAAUGGCUAAAUGAGGACAGCCCUGUCUCCUUUGGUUAAUCAGUGAAACUGAUCUUUCAGUACAAAAGCUGAAAUUAAAACAUAAGACGAGAAGACCCUGUGGAGCUUAAAAUCCCCUGUUAACGAACGCACACAAGACUAACACCCGAUUUUGAGUUGGGGCGACUUCGGAACAAAACAAGACUUCCGAGCACAGAACCACUAGUUCUAACCGAGGCCAACAAGCCAAAGAGCCAACUGACCCAGUCAUACUGAUCAACGAACCAAGUUACCCCAGGGAUAACAGCGCCAUCUUCUUCAAGAGUCCCUAUCGACAAGAAGGUUUACGACCUCGAUGUUGGAUCAGGACACCCAAAUGGUGCAGCCGCUAUUAAAGGUUCGUUUGUUCAACGAUUAACAGUCCUACGUGAUCUGAGU
This 513-nucleotide ribosomal RNA is filed under the name Kaestlea travancorica (Travancore ground skink). RNAcentral describes it as "partial 16S ribosomal RNA". It matches the Rfam family "Bacterial large subunit ribosomal RNA", at positions 1849 to 2610 of the family's 2925-position model. Lineage: Eukaryota; Metazoa; Chordata; Lepidosauria; Squamata; Scincidae. The record is from RNAcentral.